Paramuricea clavata is the source of this 353-nucleotide non-coding RNA. The record is from the annotation of a GenBank genome assembly. Lineage: Eukaryota; Metazoa; Cnidaria; Anthozoa; Malacalcyonacea; Plexauridae.
UAUGCUUGAGAGACCACAGACUUGCCAUUUGGUAUAUGUUUGUCCACAGGUGAUAUAAUCCUGUGAUUCAGUCACCUGUGAUUGAAUAUAGUCGGGCCUAUUUCAUACGUCGAAUUUAAUUCAGACGAAUUUAAUUCGUUAUUAAAUUCGUCAAUUGGUGGACAUUAAAAUGGUUUUAAAGGACGAAUUUAAUUCAAACGAAUGCAUUUCAUGACUAGCAAUCAUGGUACCCAGAAGUAAAAACCACGAGAUCCGAAAGAGAGAAAUAGACUUUAUGCAUUUAAUAUUAACAUAAUUUAUGCAUUUAAUUCGACACGACGAUAAGCUAGACGUCGUAUGAAACUAAGACGCAC